This 381-nucleotide ribosomal RNA is filed under the name uncultured eukaryote. Its description in RNAcentral is "partial 18S ribosomal RNA". It matches the Rfam family "Eukaryotic small subunit ribosomal RNA", at positions 592 to 976 of the family's 1831-position model. The record is from RNAcentral.
CAAUAGCGUAUAUUAAAGCUGUUGCGGUUAAAGAGCUCGUAGUUGGAUUUCUGUCAAGGACAACUGGUCCGCCCUCCGGGUGAGCACAUAGUUUGGUCUUGGCAUCUUGCUGGAAACUGUUGCUGCACUUGGCUGUGUGGCGCAGCGUCCAGCACUUUCACUUUGAGGAAAUUGGAGUGUUUCAAGCAGGCACAUGCCUUUGGACACAGUAGCAUGGAAUAAUUAGAUUGGGCUUUUGCUCCAAUUUGUCGGUUUCUGGAGCUGAGGUGAGAAUUAAUGGGGAUUGUUGGGGGCAUCCGAAUUUAGCCGUCAGAGGUGAAAUUCUUGGAUCUGCUAAAGACGGACAACUGCGAAAGCGUUUGCCCAGGAUGUUUUCAUUGA